Long non-coding RNA from Bombus terrestris (buff-tailed bumblebee), 855 nucleotides. RefSeq lists it as uncharacterized. NCBI's taxonomy places the organism in Eukaryota, Metazoa, Arthropoda, Insecta, Hymenoptera, Apidae. The record is from RefSeq and is a predicted model, not a curated record. The transcript has 2 exons.
GCUGCAAGUUUUUUACCAUUUUCUUUUUCUCUCGGAGAUACUUAAAUUCUUUGAAGAGUAAGGUUAUGUAAGGAUACGUAUUUAUGUAAUUUUACUAAAUUACAAGCCAAGUAAGUAAAUAGAGUUAAUAUUAAAUCUCAAAAUGUUUGCAAUAAUGAGAUAUUCGUAUAAUAUUAAAAAAUUAUCAGAAAAUUAAAAGGAAAUUAAAAAUAGUUUCAUAGUGAUGAAACGAUAAGGAGGAAAAAUAGCCCUACACAGACUAUGCUAUUUUACUAUAAAGUUAUUUACCUCACUAUUUAUUGUAAAAAAUAAAAAUUAACAAAUUUUGUAUCUAACGCUUCGUUUUUCACCAUGUAAAUGGGAUGGAACUAAUAGUGAAUCUACGUGGACCUGUCAUGCUAGAGGGAAGCAGAAAGGACGUUUGGUAUUUUUGUUACGAUGUAAAAAACGUUUGCCGUGUGGUUGGCGAUGGGGAGGAUCAACUGAUGCAACGAUCUGUAAACGUUUCUUACCCACUACCAGCAUGUCCGAGUGAUCGGAGACCGUUUGGAAGGAUGGCGCCUCGGCUGACACCUCGCAUCUGUAUCUUCCGGUGCUCAUUAGGUUCACGGAAUAGAGAACGACCGAUCUCUCGGUAGAAUUGUGAAUCUGGAAAACGACAAUGAUUCUCCCUGUAGCGCUAUGGACCAAUUAACCCAUUGCAAUUGACCCCUGUACUAUUCCUCGAAUCAGCUAUCAUGAUUCCAGCGGUUUUUAUAGCUAAUUCUUGCCAUCAACAUUCUUCUGUGAGAGUUUAUGAGGCUACCAGAAGCGGGUGCUCAGCAUGUAUUGAAAUAACAUUUUUUGUGAUUGAAA